AAUCUGGAGACAGGGCACAUUUCCCAGGGAGUGAGCCGGGCAAGCCAGACCCCUGGGAUCAAAGCCUGCAAACGAUUACAGGCCAUGCCAGCGGCUGCCCUGCAGACAGGGGUUGGAUGGGUCCUAUUGAUCAAUGAUGGUUAGAAGGGACAUCUCCCCUCCACAUCCUCCCUUGUGCCCCAGGAAUUCUAGCAACGGGGCAAGAUGGAGCUGCCCGAGAUGUCCAAUGCUCAGCCAUUCCUUGGCCCUGUACCUCUGAGUCUCUUUCUCUCUCAGCACCACCUCCGUGACGCCCGCCAGCUGGUCAGCACACUACCCCUUCUCCAGCUGGCCCACCACAGGGUGAAGCUGAAGGGCGUGAGGUCACACGACCGCAGGUGUUUCACGAUGAGCUGCAGGGAAAGGCACAGGCUGAGUGAACGUCUGCAGCACAAGAUCCAGGCCCUCCCAGGGCAGCUGUUGCAGAGACUGGAGCAGAGAGAAGCAGGGAAGUAAAUAGCAGGGGAGCUGGCGUACACGAGGCAGAGGGACAAGUGGAUCCCCCAUCUGGAGCCAGGUGCUGUUGGUAUUCGGGGUCCCUUUACCCAGGUGAUACUGAUCCCCCUGCAAUUAGACAUGGGUCUCACCUGGACCUUGGGCUGCCCUUCCCCAAAGAAUCCUUCCUCCCACCUGUGCUCCCCAACACAUGUACUGAGCAGGGCUCUGGAGGGAACGCCUCCUCCCUCCCCCUCUGGAGGGGCCCCAGCUGCCCCCCAACACCCCGCUGGCUCGCCAAGGGCUGAGCUGUUCAUCCCCACUCCAGCCAAUCUCUGUUUCUGUGGCAGGGCGAGUUGUGGCCUGGCCGUGUGGCUGUCCCGAAUCCAUGCUUUCCUCCCUCUGCACCAAAUGCUAUUUAACGCUCUGGGCCAGAUCCUCAGCUGGUGUAAACUGGGGGUAGGUUCCAGCUCCCUGUGCCAAGAAGCCAGGGUAAUUCUGUACAGUCUCACAGACACCCACCUCUACAGCUGUCCUCCCUGCCAACCCCACUGCAGAGUUAACUGAGUAGCCACUUGUCACCAGCCCUUUGGAAAAUAAACCGAGGGGCUGGAUUCGGCUGGACACGCAGCUCUCUGCAUCGGUCCAGGGUCCAGCUACUCAGCAGGGGAGUGGCUGAGUUUCCCAGCCAAGGAGGCAGGUGGAAGCUGCAGCUUUGUCCAUGCCUCACUAAGCUCUGUCCGGAUAGCGGAGCUUUCUGCCGCCUCAGUCCCCCUCAGCUUCACCAGGGCUGGGCGCUGAAUCAUGGCACUGGUGAUACACGUGCUGAUGGUCUCAGCCUCUUGUUCCUUAGAGAGGCGAGGCUCGAAUUUCCUGAUUGGAAGGAAGGGAGCAGACGGGGCCAUUAGAACAGAGACAGGUCCCAGCAUGAGCAAGGUUGGGUUUGCUGGCACGAGGGACAGCUCCCUCCCUAAGCAGCAGAGCUCCAGGGGGCAUCUCCAGCACAGCCACUGCCUAGGGAAUGGUCCGGUCUGGAGAUGCCUAUGCCCCCAGGGCCCGGCAUGGGCUCUGCUGGUGAAGCUGCUCUCUGGGGAUGAUCCUGGGCCCUGCUCUGUGGCUGCACCCAUUCACAGAACUUCAUGCUGAUGGGAGGGAUUCCCUCUUACCAGGCAAUAUGCAGAGAUGGGGUCUGGAUAAAGUGACCUGGAGGCCGAGGAGGAUAUGGCCCGUUAGUGAGCCACCGGGGAGGAGCAUCCUCCAGUUCUUCUUGCAGCUCCUCCCUCCCCCAUUUCCUCUCCCUCCAUCUGCUCCUCCCCAGCUGCUGGGCUCCGCAGGUGAGUCAGGCCUCAGGGACGUACCGUAAGUAUGAGAUGGCCAGCAGGGCAUGCUGGUGAUGGGGUUCUGCAGCCGGGCCCGGUCUUUGCCUCUGAGCAUCUCCUGCAGCACAAAGCAGAGAGUCAAAGGCAAAAGAAUUUGGGGAGCUGGGUUACUUAGCAAGACGUGGAAUCUCCAAAUGCUGUUUGAUGCCCCCACUAACCCUCAGCCCCAGCGUGCAGUGCACUGGGGCCCGGAGCUGGGAAGAUGGCCUGGGAGUGGCCCCAUGGCCAGAAUGCAGGGGACAUUCACAAGACAGUUCCUAUUUUGCCAUUCCUGAUGGCACAUCUGGAAACUUCAGCAUCUGCCAUGGAGCAGGGAAGGGGGAUCUGGGCAGAGGCAAUUUUGUGACAAGGAGCAUUAGAGUCCUUAACAGCUGAAGUGUGAAAUUGACAUGAACUGGGAUCGUAUAGAUCAUUGUUGCAACCAAAGUCCUGUAGUGGCACCAAAUCUUGUAUAAAGUGGGUCAAAUAGGGUGUCUAAGACAAGGUUAUGAUUUGCUGG
Molecule: RNA transcript, 2352 nt
Organism: Mauremys mutica (yellowpond turtle)
Lineage: Eukaryota; Metazoa; Chordata; Testudines; Geoemydidae
Exons: 2
Source: RefSeq, a predicted model, not a curated record